Molecule: ribosomal RNA, 440 nt
Filed under: uncultured bacterium
Lineage: Bacteria
Description: partial 16S ribosomal RNA
Rfam family: Bacterial small subunit ribosomal RNA
Source: RNAcentral
CCUACGGGUGGCUGCAGUGGGGGAUAUUGCACAAUGGGGGGAACCCUGAUGCAGCGACGCAGCGUGGGUGAAGAAGCGCCUCGGCGCGUAAAGCUCUGUCAGUAGGGAAGAAAAUGACGGUACGUGAAGAAGAAGCCCCGGAUAACUACGUGCCAGCAGCCGUGGUAAUACGGAGGGGGCAAGCGUUAUCCGGAUUUACUGGGUGUAAAGGGGGCGCAGACGGCGAUGCAAGCCAGGAGUGAAAGCCUGGGGCCCAACCCCGGGACUGCUCGUGGAACUGCGUGGCUGGAGUGCAGGAGGGGCAGGCGGAAUUCCUGGUGUAGCGGUGAAAUGCGUAGAUAUCAGGAGGAACACCGGUUGCGAAGGCGGCCUGCUGGACUGCAACUGACGUUGAGGCCCGAAAGCGUGGGGAGCAAACAGGAUUAGAUACCCGGGUAGUC